GACGUAGGGCGCGAGCGUUGUCCGGAUUUAUUGGGCGUAAAGAGCUCGUAGGCGGCUUGUCGCGUCGUUCGUGAAAACCCACAGCUCAACUGUGGGCUUGCGGGCGAUACGGGCAGGCUAGAGUUCGGUAGGGGAGACUGGAAUUCCUGGUGUAGCGGUGAAAUGCGCAGAUAUCAGGAGGAACACCGGUGGCGAAGGCGGGUCUCUGGGCCGAUACUGACGCUGAGGAGCGAAAGCGUGGAGAGCGAACAGG
Molecule: ribosomal RNA, 253 nt
Filed under: uncultured bacterium
Lineage: Bacteria
Description: partial 16S ribosomal RNA
Rfam family: Bacterial small subunit ribosomal RNA
Source: RNAcentral